GUUAGAAAUCCACAAACCUUUAGCUAUAAAAUGAUGCUGUAUAUCGACCCUAGUUGAUCAUGUCCGCCGCUUCCGGUUGUUUCCUCGUCGCUGCUGAUGUCACACCGCCACGCCGUGACGUCACUCCGUGCCACUUGCUGUCUCGCUUUUUGAUGCGGUUCUUUGAAAAGUCGCGUGCAGGAGCUUUAGCCGUUAGCUGCUGCUCGGAAAGGAGGAUACUCCGACUGCAAUAAAACGGGCGCAGUAAUAAAACGCGCACGAAGCUCAGAACCGCACUCAAGUUUUUUAUUUUUAUUUUUAUUUUAUUUUAAAACAAUAAAAUAUAUUAGUAGUUCCGUUAGCGAGGCUAAGCUGAGGGUUACAGCUGGCUAACUAACGCUAGCUUUACAUAUUUACCUUCAGCUCCUUGUGCUAGCCGGUUUCAGGGUUCAGCUAAUGUUUGAAACCGAGCUGAGAAGUAGGAUUUCUGAAAAGUACCAAGAUAUAUAGAUAGAUAGAUAGAUAAAUAAAUAAAUAUAAAAGGCCCGCUAUUAAUGCAGCAAAAGACUGACAGGUUCCAGUGACAGAUGGUCAGCGUCGUUGGUCACGGAGAGUCACCGACCGUGCCUGUGUUUUGGUAAUCCUUCUUGUUUUGACAAGCUUGAGUCCAGCUGUAGGUCUUUUGAGAAUUCAUCGUUACUUGAUUAGUGCUGUGAAGUCUAUACGGUGAUUUAAAGUACCGAAGUGGUUUAGAUAAACAGAAUCGUGUGUGAUUUGGAGAAGAAAAUCAUAUUGUAAUAUGGUACACUAGGGCUGGGCGAUAUGAAAAAAACGUCAUAUAGGAAUACUUGAGGACGUUUCUACGAAAUGAGAUGCAUAUCUCUGACUACGUUUACAUGGACAGCAGUAAUGUAAUUAUUGACCUUAUUCUGAAUAAAACAAUAUUGUGAUUAAGGUGUUUUCAUGAGUUGCUUUUAGAAUAUUCCUUUCAUGUUCCCAUUUUACAUGUUAUAGAACAUAGAUCGAUUAACAGCACACGUCAUUACGUCACUGCGCCAUGGUGUCUGACGUCCCUCCAGAAUUUCACGUAUCAACAUACAGUUCGUCUUCAUUAUGGUACCGUAUACAGUUUUGGGGUGUUUAAUUUUUUAUUUUAAAAGCCUCAAGUGCAGUUAAUUAUUUGUCAUGCUUUAUGUGCAAAUAGACGACUGCUUGAAGCUGUGGGCUGCGUCCCAAACCGCGUACUUACCUACUAUAUAGUAGCUAAAAUACAUGUAUUUCGCCUACUAUAUAGUAGGUAAGUACGCGGUUUGGGACGCAGACGCGCUGUCUUGUUUGCGGACAAACGGUUGAGCGCUGCCGUGUGUGAUCGUGUCCUGUCGCAAAAUGCAGUGAAAACUCCUACACGGUGUUAAUAGUGUGAUUAAGGUGUUUACAUGUCUGUAAUACACUACAAUAAUAUGACUAAAACAAGAAUACUCCACAUGUCUUAAUUCGAUUUAUGUUUACUUCGAGUAUGACUUUAAUCGGAUUAAGGUCAUCAGUAAUCGCCUGUUACAUGCUAGUUUCUUAAUAAGAGUAUCGGGUUAAUAUCGGAUUAUUGUUGUCCAUGUAAACGUACUGAUUGUUUAGACCACAGCGCCGCUGAGAUCUUGCUUCUGAUUGGCUGACAGAUGUUCUGAAUGUGUGUGAUUAAUUUUCAGUUCAAUGCACAGCUAAAAAAUCACUCCGGCAAGUUAAUGGAAAUAACGGAAAGGUUAAACAAAACAAAAUGACACAGUUUUAAUCGUACAGUAAGCAAAUAAGUAAGCAACGACAAAAUUAAUUUGGGUUAAAUGUUUCUGGGGACAAGUGGACGCGCAUCAGGGCUGAGAGACGGGAUCUGUACUUGUUUUUUAUGAUGUUGAAAUGUGAAAAACCCCUCUCACGAGCUGCAUUGCUCAAAGGAAGGAAUAGUACGGGACAACUUUAGUACCUUGUAGAUAUUGGAGUAACAAUCUGGAUUGCUUCUGUUAACUACCGUGACUAAAUCAUACACAGAGGAUGCUGCCAAGCGGUUUCCUGCUCGCUUUAAACGCAUCCAUUCUUUUAUAGUUGUGUCUCUGUCAAGAGGCAAGAUGGCCUCAUAUUUAUUGAGAAUGGUGCUGAUAGUCGUGUUGUCAUGUGGAGGUCUUGCAUUUCUUGAGGCAGGAUCAAAAAACUAAAAAAAUGAUCACAUGACUUUAGAGAUCCAACUCACCAGUUAAACCUCUGAGCAAAUCAGUUUUGUCCCUGUCAGCAUCAGCAUUGGAAAUGGUGUGAUUCCUGUGCUGGCCUUCUCCAUCAAGCAAAAGAGUGAACUGUCCGAUAGCUAGCACGAGUUUGAUCUGACGUUUCUUCUGAGUUGGCAGAAUGCCAAAGAAGUUGCUUAAUGUCUGUUGUUUUUUGAAUAUCUCUCUCAGUAUUACAGUUCGACGGUGACUGUGCAUUUACAGCUAUUGGUACGCAAAUGAGUGGUCUAGGCUAGUUAACCCUCCGCAUUUUUAAUUUCGGUCACGCACGUGCACCAGUUAUAUGCACCCCCGCAGUUACUGGAGAGAGAGACAGAGAGAGAGGGGUAACGGUCACGCCGCUUCUCCUCGUGGCUGCAUUACCGCCUCAUGAUGUGCAUUAUUAUCUAACAAUUCAAUGGACCGGAGUCAGUUAUUCUUUACAUAUAAUUUAGCUAACAAACCAUCUGCCAAACAGUAGUAAAAUAAACAAACAAAUGUUUUGAUGGUACUUUUCUUUAAUGCCUACAAAGACAAAGAAGAAAAUCAUUUAUAAAUAAUUACUUCAAAUCAACGGCAUCCGUUUCAUUUGUAAUUAUUAAAAUCAUUUAAAGAAAUAUUUCACAGUAUCUCAGAAAAGUGUAUCGUGUAAUCAUUUAUCACGAUAUCGAUAUAUCGCCCAACCCUGCGAUACUCGAUAUUUAGAAUUGCUGAAUGCUUUUACUGAAGAUCUUUCCAACACACUUAGCACUGACUCGAUAGUAUACAGUUGUAUAAGUGUAAUGAUUUAUAAGCACAUUAUCCGAUGUCACCCAGACGAGGACGGGUUCCAUCUUAAGAGGAACCUGAUUGGUCAGAAGUUAUCGAUCUUUCUUUUUCCAUAAGAGCAUCUUUGACAGUAGUGCCGGCUGUAAUUCAAACCACAGGUUUAUAUGAAUGCACUCAGUCUAAUAUGGUCUUGUUUCUACAGUAACUUACACUCACAGUCCACUUUAUUAGGAACACUCAUGCUCAUUCAUGCAGUUAUCUAAUCAGCCAAUCAUGUAUCAGCAGCACAAAGCAUAAAAUCAUGAAGGCAGAGGUCAAGAGCUACAGUUAAUGUUCACAUCAGAAUGCAGGAAAUAUGUGUGCU
This is a long non-coding RNA of Ictalurus punctatus (channel catfish), 3360 nucleotides long. The record is from Ensembl. Lineage: Eukaryota; Metazoa; Chordata; Actinopteri; Siluriformes; Ictaluridae.